RNAcentral lists this ribosomal RNA (497 nucleotides) under uncultured bacterium. Its description in RNAcentral is "partial 16S ribosomal RNA". It matches the Rfam family "Bacterial small subunit ribosomal RNA", at positions 28 to 507 of the family's 1533-position model. The record is from RNAcentral.
GAUGAACGCUGGCGGCGUGCCUAAUACAUGCAAGUCGAGCGAACGGACGAGAAGCUUGCUUCUCUGAUGUUAGCAGCGGACGGGUGAGUAACACGUGGAUAACCUACCUAUAAGACUGGGAUAACUUCGGGAAACCGGAGCUAAUACCGGAUAAUAUUUUGAACCGCAUGGUUCAAAAGUGAAAGACGGUCUUGCUGUCACUUAUAGAUGGAUCCGCGCUGCAUUAGCUAGUUGGUAAGGUAACGGCUUACCAAGGCAACGAUGCAUAGCCGACCUGAGAGGGUGAUCGGCCACACUGGAACUGAGACACGGUCCAGACUCCUACGGGAGGCAGCAGUAGGGAAUCUUCCGCAAAGGGCGAAAGCCUGACGGAGCAACGCCGCGUGAGUGAUGAAGGUCUUCGGAUCGUAAAACUCUGUUAUUAGGGAAGAACAUAUGUGUAAGUAACUGUGCACAUCUUGACGGUACCCAAUCAGAAAGCCACGGCUAACUACGUG